RNAcentral lists this ribosomal RNA (450 nucleotides) under uncultured bacterium. RNAcentral describes it as "bacterial SSU rRNA". It matches the Rfam family "Bacterial small subunit ribosomal RNA", at positions 354 to 796 of the family's 1533-position model. The record is from RNAcentral.
GUGGGGAAUUUUGGACAAUGGGCGCAAGCCUGAUCCAGCAAUGCCGCGUGCAGGAAGAAGGCCUUCGGGUUGUAAACUGCUUUUGUACGGAACGAAACGGCUCUGGUUAAUACCUGGGGCUAAUGACGGUACCGUAAGAAUAAGCACCGGCUAACUACGUGCCAGCAGCCGCGGUAAUACGUAGGGUGCAAGCGUUAAUCGGAAUUACUGGGCGUAAAGCGUGCGCAGGCGGUUUUGUAAGACAGGCGUGAAAUCCCCGGGCUCAACCUGGGAAUGGCGCUUGUGACUGCAAAGCUGGAGUGCGGCAGAGGGGGAUGGAAUUCCGCGUGUAGCAGUGAAAUGCGUAGAUAUGCGGAGGAACACCGAUGGCGAAGGCAAUCCCCUGGGCCUGCACUGACGCUCAUGCACGAAAGCGUGGGGAGCAAACAGGAUUAGAAACCCUGGUAGUCC